Molecule: ribosomal RNA, 441 nt
Filed under: Corynebacterium sp.
Lineage: Bacteria; Bacillati; Actinomycetota; Actinomycetes; Mycobacteriales; Corynebacteriaceae
Description: bacterial SSU rRNA
Rfam family: Bacterial small subunit ribosomal RNA
Source: RNAcentral
GAUGAACGCUGGCGGCGUGCUUAACACAUGCAAGUCGAACGGAAAGGCCAGUGCUUGCACUGGUGCUCGAGUGGCGAACGGGUGAGUAACACGUGGGUGAUCUGCCCUGCACUUUGGGAUAAGCCUGGGAAACUGGGUCUAAUACCAGAUAGGACCAUGCUUUGGAUGGUGUGGUGGAAAGUUUUUUCGGUGUGGGAUGAGCUUGCGGCCUAUCAGCUUGUUGGUGGGGUAAUGGCCUACCAAGGCGUCGACGGGUAGCCGGCCUGAGAGGGUGUACGGCCACAUUGGGACUGAGAUACGGCCCAGACUCCUACGGGAGGCAGCAGUGGGGAAUAUUGCACAAUGGGCGCAAGCCUGAUGCAGCGACGCCGCGUGGGGGAUGACGGCCUUCGGGUUGUAAACUCCUUUCGCAACUGACGAAGCUUUUUGUGACGGUAGGUG